UACGGAGGGUGCAAGCGUUAUCCGGAUUCACUGGGCGUAAAGGGUGCGUAGGCGGCGCGGUAAGUCGGGUGUGAAAUCUCGGAGCUUAACUCCGAAACUGCAUUCGAUACUGCCGUGCUUGAGGACUGGAGAGGAGACUGGAAUUUACGGUGUAGCGGUGAAAUGCGUAGAUAUCGUAAGGAAGACCAGUGGCGAAGGCGGGUCUCUGGACAGUUCCUGACGCUGAGGCACGAAGGCCAGGGGAGCAAACGGG
This 253-nucleotide ribosomal RNA is filed under the name uncultured bacterium. Its description in RNAcentral is "partial 16S ribosomal RNA". It matches the Rfam family "Bacterial small subunit ribosomal RNA", at positions 524 to 776 of the family's 1533-position model. The record is from RNAcentral.